Molecule: ribosomal RNA, 229 nt
Filed under: uncultured bacterium
Lineage: Bacteria
Description: partial 16S ribosomal RNA
Rfam family: Bacterial small subunit ribosomal RNA
Source: RNAcentral
CGCGCAGGCGGGCUUGUAAGUCAGAGGUGAAAUCCUACAGCUUAACUGUAGAACUGCCUUUGAUACUGCAGGUCUUGAGUUCGAAAGAGAGAGACGGAAUUCCAGGUGUAGUGGUGAAAUACGUAGAUAUCUGGAAGAACACCAGUGGCGAAGGCGGUCUCUUGGUUCGUAACUGACGCUGAGGCGCGAAAGCGUGGGGAGCAAACAGGAUUAGAUACCCUGGUAGUCC